GCCAGGUGUGGUGGCGUGCACCUGUGGUCCCAGCUACUCAGGAGGCUGAAGCAGGAGGAUCACUUGAACCCAGGAGGUCGAGGCUGCAGUGAGCCAUUAUUAUGCUACAGCACUCCAGCCUGGGCAAUAGAGUGAGACCCUGCCUCAA
RNAcentral lists this non-coding RNA (148 nucleotides) under Homo sapiens (human). The record is from Rfam by way of RNAcentral. Lineage: Eukaryota; Metazoa; Chordata; Mammalia; Primates; Hominidae.